RNAcentral lists this ribosomal RNA (588 nucleotides) under Triticum aestivum (bread wheat). RNAcentral describes it as "partial small subunit ribosomal RNA". The record is from RNAcentral. Lineage: Eukaryota; Viridiplantae; Streptophyta; Magnoliopsida; Poales; Poaceae.
AUGCCGGCAGGAUCGUCACCAGUGAUCCCGCUCCAGCAAGUCGCAUGUUUACCGGCGGGCCGCUUCGCGGUUGUUCUGCCGGAGAUCACCAGUGGCGCCCCCGCCACAAUCACGGUCAGCAUCGGCGACCAUCGCAGCGAGGGGAAAGCCACUGAGGACAAGCGCGAGAAGGCCGUAAAAGCAAAGGGGCGGGUUCUCAAGAUGGGUCCUUGUGGUGGCCCUGGUGGCGACGUGUGGAAGAUGGACGUGCGCGGCGUCGACCGCAUCGUCAAGGUGAUCCUGUGGCAUGCAGGCGCAGUCGACGCAAUCUCGGUUUCGUACGAGCGGGAUGGCCAGAUUGAGCAGACCGAGCACUGGGGGAAACCUGAGGGUCGACAACGCUCAGAGAUCUGUUUGGAUCCGGAUGAAUACCUCACCGGUAUGAAAGGGCAUGUGGGCGAGUUCGGUGGCUCUUUCCUUGUCGGAGCGCUUACUUUAGUUGGCAACCGGCGCUCCUUCGGACCAUACGGGACAAGGAAAGGCCUGCCGUUCGAGUUGCCUGCACUGGUGGAAAAAUGGCCUUUUAUCGCGGUUCGCAACUGCCAUUAG